This is a long non-coding RNA of Rhodamnia argentea, 322 nucleotides long. RefSeq lists it as uncharacterized. The transcript is spliced from 2 exons. The record is from RefSeq and is a predicted model, not a curated record. Lineage: Eukaryota; Viridiplantae; Streptophyta; Magnoliopsida; Myrtales; Myrtaceae.
ACGAUCAUGUGCCCUUCUGUCCUGUUGCAGUUGAAAGGCCUGACUUUUGGGGACCAGUUCAAGCCACUUGAGGAGAACCUCUGCAACGGCAGUACUCUGAGUUAUGGGAACUCAUUUGGACAAGAGUUGCUAGUUCUGAUCCUUGUUCUUCCUGGUAGACAAGAUAGGAGGCGACUCGAAAUCUAGAACCUAGAUAUUCAAAUAGAGAGGUCCAAAUUCUUUAGAUACAUAAUAUGCUAAGUUGCCUACUUUUGCAUGUGUUGUGUGGGUUACAUUCUUGCAGAUGUGCUUCUUUAUCAAAUGAGCUGUCAAUCAUUUAUUU